GGAAGAAAGAGUUUGUUCCAGCUUAACAGGUCACGCUCCAUCACCAAGAGAUAUCAGGGCAGGAAAUCAAGCAAGAACUAACGCAGAAACUGUGGAAGUCGUGGAGAACCUUCUAUAUGCUGUACCAUCUACUUGCAAACACCUCCCUUAGCCUUCUUCACCUGGUUAAUGCUUCUACAUCCUUCAGAUAUUUGCAAUAAACUCCCGGAGACUGCGAAUUAUUAACUUGGAUCUCAUCUUCUCCAUGUUCCUGAGACCACCUGGUACAAGAACAAAAGGCUGUCUCCAGGCCCAUGUUCCCUGUCCCCUGGCUCAGGGGUCUUCAGUUGAGGCUUGACUCCACUCAUUCUGGGGACACCACCCAUGCUAAGCUGUACCUUUGCCAGCACCGGGGAAACCAAAUCAGGACCCGAGCCUAUGGACUGCCCACUUCAGCUACGCCAAAUAGAGAACUAGUACUUCUGCUGGUGGAAGUGGGGGAAAAAAAAAAAAAGGAACCACUGCUGAGCAAAUAUAAUGGCUGGAG
Peromyscus maniculatus bairdii (prairie deer mouse) is the source of this 526-nucleotide long non-coding RNA. RefSeq lists it as uncharacterized. The record is from RefSeq and is a predicted model, not a curated record. Lineage: Eukaryota; Metazoa; Chordata; Mammalia; Rodentia; Cricetidae.